This 365-nucleotide long non-coding RNA is filed under the name Salvia miltiorrhiza (redroot sage). RNAcentral describes it as "long non-coding RNA (SMIL_LNC009548)". The record is from RNAcentral. Lineage: Eukaryota; Viridiplantae; Streptophyta; Magnoliopsida; Lamiales; Lamiaceae.
UUCGAUCCUCCACGCGUCUCCAACCUUAGUUACCUGAAAAUGUUAAAUAUGGGAUGAGCAUAUGAAAUAUACUCAGUGUGGGAAACAUGCAAUAAUUGUCCACGUUAAUAAAAUGGUCAACACAUACGCACUGCACUGUACUGAUAACUGAAAUUCGCACGGUGGCAUACCAAGGACUUUAAUGUCCUGGACCCAUUGAGCGGGCCCCUGGCGAAUAGGUUGCAACCCUAACUGUAAAAUGAAAUCGCAUUGUGGCAUACCAAGGACGGUGAAGUCCUGGACCCAUUGAGCGAGCCCCUAGCGAUAUAACUGAAUUUACAACACAUAUGGCAAACACAUACUAUUAAAAUGGACAACAAUUAACC